GAUCUUUUUGUUCCUCUUCUUCAUCAUCUUUUUGUGGCUCAGUUCCAGGAUGUUCAUCUCCUUCCUGUCGUCGGAGGCCUGCUGCUCCUUCAGACAAUCCAGCCUGCUCUGCAUCAUGAACUCGCGCCUCCGCCUCUGCUCUUUGGCCUUCACCAGAUGUUGCUUGCGCUCCUCCUUGCUCCAGUAACGCCCCAUCUUCAUCUCGCUCAUGGCGUCAUCAUCGGUGGUCAGGCCACUGCGCUCCUCGCGGAUCUUCAGCGCCCGCUCCCGCAGCAGCCGGUCACGUACCGGCCUCUUGGUGAUGUAGCGCGUCCCAUCACUGCGGAUCUUCACUUUCCAUUCCAUCCUGGGUUCUGCUGAGUUAGAAGAGUUCAAGUCCUUGCACAUGCUCACCAGGCUCAUCUGGCUCUGUGCGUACUCCACUGCUGACUUCUGCUGGAUCAGGUGCAUGUAGCUCUGGUAGUGUUGCGCGUGAGCUGGGAUGUGCGCGUGUUUGUAUGGGGAGUGAUGGUAUGA
This 516-nucleotide long non-coding RNA is filed under the name Rattus norvegicus (Norway rat). RNAcentral's name for it is "long non-coding RNA NONRATT020754". Lineage: Eukaryota; Metazoa; Chordata; Mammalia; Rodentia; Muridae. The record is from RNAcentral.